Heterocephalus glaber (naked mole-rat) is the source of this 1326-nucleotide long non-coding RNA. NCBI's taxonomy places the organism in Eukaryota, Metazoa, Chordata, Mammalia, Rodentia, Bathyergidae. The record is from Ensembl.
UUAAAUCCUGGAAGCACACUGUCCGCCCGGUGUGGGCACAGGGCCCAGGAGCCUCCUUGCUGGCCCAGAUAAGGUGAGCAGGCACCUGACCCUGUUCCUGCCCAGGAAACGGGAGGAGAGAUCUGCUCAAGGAACUCUGGGAAAAGUGCUCUUGCUCCUGAACAGGAACAUGGAGGAAAACGGGCCACCAUGUCCACCAGAUGCUGCUGUAUCCUCUGCGUGACGUGGAGUGGUUAGAUGUGACCUUAGAGCCACCAGGAGAUCCAGCACACUCUCGUGAUGCAGGGUACAGAGACAGAACGAGCCAGGGUCUGUGCUGGUGGCCCUGGUGCUGCCCUACUUCUGAAUCUCUUGUUAUAUAAGAUAAUAAAAAUCCUUCUUGCAGAGUCAAUUUGAGAUGGCAUGCUCCGUUACUUACAGCCAAAAGCAGGUGAAAUGUGAAAGUAAGUUCUCUGGAUGAACUGAAGGGCUACUUCCUGGAGCUAUGAAAACCACAACCAUCACCACAAACCGCAGGCAAAGGAAAUGUGAGGGCUUUUAUCACAUCAUGGGUGACAGUAAGGAUUUUAACGUCAGACAUACCUGAGCCCGCACUCAGAUAUGUACUGGGGGUGGGCUGUGGCCCACCUUCUUCAGCCUCUUUAAGCCUCAUUUUCUUCAUCUCUAGACUGAACAUGCAACAGCACAUGGGCUAGUCUUGAGCCCAGAUGACAUCACUUCUGCCAAAUGAGACACAAAGGAGUUGAGUCACAGUCACAGUGCAACUGGCAGUGAGCAUUUCAGAGGGAGUCACUGUGUCUGUCACAGUGGUCACACUAAAGGACACCACAGUAAUGCCAUCAGCAAAACCAGAGCUGGGGACUGCUGGGGUGGCCCUGUGGCUUUGUGCUGAUGCUGCUGUCCUCGGCACCUGGAAGGAGUUUUCAGUAGAAGGUGGAGGUGAGGCAGGGCGGAAGAAAUAGAGCCGGUAGAAAAGAGACAAGGAAAAGUGGAAUUUAAAAACUGUACUUUUAAGAAACACUGCAGCUUCGGGACACAAAAGUUACUUAAAGCCUUUUUCCCUCCCAGGAAACUCACUCAAUAUAAAUCUUAAAGGUCUUAAAGGCACAGUAAGCCUGUACUUCCGGCUUUUCACCUGUAAACUUCACUUCCUGCCACAACCACCACCUCGAGCAAGCAGCAGUGAGAGACAGCGUCCUGGCCUCAGACUCGGAAAGUGGGGUGCGGCCCGACCCGGCCCAGAUGGGAGAGCACAGCAGCAGAGCAGCACCCUGACCCAGGCCGCUCUCUCCCCUUGGGCCUGUACUCUAUUUCUUUGAAUUCGAG